RNAcentral lists this ribosomal RNA (525 nucleotides) under uncultured Hanseniaspora. RNAcentral describes it as "eukaryotic LSU rRNA". It matches the Rfam family "Eukaryotic large subunit ribosomal RNA", at positions 62 to 586 of the family's 3401-position model. The record is from RNAcentral. Lineage: Eukaryota; Fungi; Ascomycota; Saccharomycetes; Saccharomycodales; Saccharomycodaceae.
AAACCAACUGGGAUUACCCUAGUAACGGCGAGUGAAGCGGUAAAAGCUCAAAUUUGAAAUCUGGUACUUUCAGUGCCCGAGUUGUAAUUUGUAGAAUUUGUCUUUGAUUAGGUCCUUGUCUAUGUUCCUUGGAACAGGACGUCAUAGAGGGUGAGAAUCCCGUUUGGCGAGGAUACCUUUUCUCUGUAAGACUUUUUCGAAGAGUCGAGUUGUUUGGGAAUGCAGCUCAAAGUGGGUGGUAAAUUCCAUCUAAAGCUAAAUAUUGGCGAGAGACCGAUAGCGAACAAGUACAGUGAUGGAAAGAUGAAAAGAACUUUGAAAAGAGAGUGAAAAAGUACGUGAAAUUGUUGAAAGGGAAGGGCAUUUGAUCAGACAUGGUGUUUUUGCAUGCACUCGCCUCUCGUGGGCUUGGGCCUCUCAAAAAUUUCACUGGGCCAACAUCAAUUUUGGCGGCAGGAAAAAUCUUUGGAAUGUAGCUACCUCGGUAGUGUUAUAGCCUUUUGAAAUACUGUCAGCUGGGAUUGA